Molecule: long non-coding RNA, 217 nt
Filed under: Elaeis guineensis (African oil palm)
Lineage: Eukaryota; Viridiplantae; Streptophyta; Magnoliopsida; Arecales; Arecaceae
Description: long non-coding RNA (EGUI_LNC003159)
Source: RNAcentral
CUGUGUCAUUUCAAGCAUGCUUUUUCUCUCUCUAUUGUGUACAAAGCUUCGAUUGACUUUAGCAUCGAAGGUUCUUUCAUCUGAGCACCCCUCUUCAAUACGAAUGAACUUUUGUAGGUCUUCCGCAGCGUCUUGGAGGCCCAAACUGAUGCACCUCCAUCACCAUAUCAGCUUUGAUGCAAUAGAAAGUGACAUGGCUAGACUUGAAGGUGUAGUA